CCCUUAGAUGUUCUGGGCAGCACGCGCGCUACAAUGGUCUUCGCAAACGGAUGCAUUCUCGAAGGAGAAUGCCAAUCUUGGAAUCUAUGCCUUGGUCGGGACAGUUGCUUGCAAUUAUUCGACUCGAACCAGGAAUUCCUUGUAAUCGUGAUUCAUCACAUCACGAUGAAUACGUCCCUGCCCUUUGUACACACCGCCCGUCGCUCCUACCGAUCGAAGAGUUAGGUGAAUUGUUUUGAUCGAUAAGAUUUGACUAUGGUCAACUCUCGUUGUGAAAUUCUGUGAAUCUGACUGUUUAGAGGAAGGAAAAGUCGUAACA
This 319-nucleotide ribosomal RNA is filed under the name uncultured eukaryote. RNAcentral describes it as "partial 18S ribosomal RNA". It matches the Rfam family "Eukaryotic small subunit ribosomal RNA", at positions 1470 to 1796 of the family's 1831-position model. The record is from RNAcentral.